UAAUUCAGAAACUCUUCGCCU
RNAcentral lists this microRNA (21 nucleotides) under Rosa chinensis. Its description in RNAcentral is "sRNA RchiOBHm_Chr2g0087235". The record is from RNAcentral. Lineage: Eukaryota; Viridiplantae; Streptophyta; Magnoliopsida; Rosales; Rosaceae.